AAGUCGUAACAAGGUUUCCGUAGGUGAACCUGCGGGAGGAUCAUUAACAAGAAGAAUAUUGGUUUACUGAAUGUUAGUUGGGAUGGUGGUUGGGAGACUGACUGUCAUGCUUUCUGACAUUCUUUUAUAUCAAACACUAAUGUGAAUAGGAACUUGUGGCAAAACAAUGGAAGGAUAACAACCAUUUUUUAUUAAACUCUUUAAACCUCAAACAAAAGAUAAAAAACAAAAAUAAAAUCCAAUGUCACAAUUGGAAAUAAAAAAAAGUAACAAAAUGAACAACUUUUAACAAUGGAUAUCUUGGUUCUC
This 309-nucleotide unclassified non-coding RNA is filed under the name fungal sp. RNAcentral describes it as "partial internal transcribed spacer region". The stretch from base 1 to 46 matches the Rfam family "Eukaryotic small subunit ribosomal RNA", at positions 1786 to 1831 of the family's 1831-position model. Lineage: Eukaryota; Fungi. The record is from RNAcentral.